CCUAACAUACUUAGAUCAGAAUCAUACUUUUCUUUAUGUGCUGGGUAUUAAUCAUACUUUUCUUUAGGAGCAAGCUAACAGCCACUCAACUCCGUUAACCUUUAGAAAAAAAUCAAGUGACAAUACAAUACCGUAGAAAGCACGGAUCCAUAACAAAAAUUGGUUGAUUUCUCUUCAUUAUGCUAGAAUAGUGAGUAAUGCCUUCACGACCUUAUCAUAUUCUCUACUUACAUCUCAGCUCAAACCUAGGUAAAAUGUUUGAGCUGAUCUUUCUCCAUUCGUUUACUCUGCUCUUGUAAACGAUACAAAUAAAUAUAGAUUACAUCGGGAAAAAGCAAAGGGCUGGCCUGGUCAAUUCCCCUAGUGCUAACUACUGCUAUUAAUUAAUCUGAGGUUGGUUGACUUCCUGCGAUGUCUACUUCUGUCAGUACACAAAAUUGUGGAAUUUCCUCCGCCUUCUGAGUCCUCUGUACGGCCUUUCAUAUCUCCAUCAAAGUUUGGAAACAAAAGGAAGGUGUCACCACGUCUGAUGAACGCCUGAAUUGGCUGUACGGAUUUGUUCCUACUUGACCAAAUAUGUAAUCAGAGAAAUCUUCAUUGCUGGAGGAGUCCGUGGAGCUCACGGUGCUACAAGAACUUGCAUCCGAGGAGCUGAAAAUCGAUGAACUCUCACUUGAUGAAUCCAUAGCAGGAGCUCUGUACAUGGAAUGAGAUCUCCAAUCAUCUGGAUCUAAUGAUUGAUAGCUUGAACCAUCAAAAUUCAUCCUGUCCAUUCUCUACUAGACUUUGGUUGUCCUGCGGAACUAUUCAUACUUGGAACCGUGUAUCUCAACUUGGAUUUGCUAAGACUUGAAGGGACUGCUUCCGAGUUCCUUCUAUAGGAUGUCCCAGCAUGAGAAAGGGCGUUACUUCCUAACAAGACUGGGGGUCGCCUAGAAA
Molecule: long non-coding RNA, 939 nt
Organism: Rosa rugosa (rugosa rose)
Lineage: Eukaryota; Viridiplantae; Streptophyta; Magnoliopsida; Rosales; Rosaceae
Exons: 2
Source: RefSeq, a predicted model, not a curated record